CUUUUUUCUUAUUCUUUAACCCUCUUAUUUAUAGGUGAAUUUUUUAUAUUUUCUGGUAGCAAACGGUGUCCCAAAAGCCCUCAAAAUCGUGUCAAACCCAUGUCUUAAAUUUUUGGCCAUUCGAUCUUAUUUGGACUGUUCAGAUCAGCCCAAAAAUCAUUGCUUAUCUCUUUAUCUCGAUUGAAUUUGAUAUCAACCAUUGGAUCAGUCACC
RNAcentral lists this long non-coding RNA (213 nucleotides) under Elaeis guineensis (African oil palm). RNAcentral's name for it is "long non-coding RNA (EGUI_LNC012480)". Lineage: Eukaryota; Viridiplantae; Streptophyta; Magnoliopsida; Arecales; Arecaceae. The record is from RNAcentral.